RNAcentral lists this ribosomal RNA (264 nucleotides) under uncultured bacterium. Its description in RNAcentral is "partial 16S ribosomal RNA". It matches the Rfam family "Bacterial small subunit ribosomal RNA", at positions 90 to 354 of the family's 1533-position model. The record is from RNAcentral.
CGUGAGUGGCGGACGGGUGAGCAACGCGUGGGCAACCUGCCCCGUACCGGGGGACAACAGCCGGAAACGGCUGCUAAUACCGCAUAUUCCCGCGGGGCCGCAUGGCCCUGCGGGGAAAGCUCCGGCAGUACGGGAUGGGCCCGCGUCUGAUUAGCUUGUUGGCGGGGUAACGGCCCACCAAGGCUGCGAUCAGUAGCCGGCCUGAGAGGGCGGCCGGCCACAUUGGGACUGAGACACGGCCCAGACUCCUACGGGAGGCAGCAG